RNAcentral lists this unclassified non-coding RNA (355 nucleotides) under Hevea brasiliensis (rubber tree). The record is from RNAcentral. Lineage: Eukaryota; Viridiplantae; Streptophyta; Magnoliopsida; Malpighiales; Euphorbiaceae.
AGAGGAAGAGAGAUUGGGGAGGCAGUCUGAGGGAGAGGGAAGGAAGAGGAAAGGGAUGCGGUCUGUCAGGGAGAGGGGAGGAAGAGGAGAAGAGGGAGGGGAGGUGUCGGAAAGAGAGGGCGAGAGAAACGGGAAGGGAGAAAGGGGAGGGGAAGCGGAAGGGGAAAGGGGAAGAAGGGAGAGGGAAGGUGGGCGAUGGAAAGAGGGAGAAGGGAGGGGCUGGAGGCGGCUGGGAGAGGGGCAAAGGGGAGGUGGCGGCUGGGAGAGGGGAAGGGGAGAGGAAAGGGAGAGAAAGGGGAGAGGGAGGGGAACGACGGGAGGAGGGAGAAGAGAGGCUGUUGGGAGGAAGAGAGAA